Molecule: ribosomal RNA, 369 nt
Filed under: uncultured organism
Description: partial 16S ribosomal RNA
Rfam family: Bacterial small subunit ribosomal RNA
Source: RNAcentral
GUAGGGGUGCAAGCGUUGUCCGGAUUUAUUGGGCGUAAAGAGUUCGUAGGCGGUAUAGUAAGUUGCUCUUCAAAUAUCUCGGGCUCAACCGAGAAUAGGGGAUCAAUACUGCAAUACUUGAAGGACACAGGGGCCACUGGAACUUAUCAUGUAGGAGUGAAAUCCGUUGAUAUGAUAAGGAACUCCAAGAGCGAAGGCGGGUGGCUGGGUGUUUUUGACGCUGAGGAACGAAAGCUAGGGUAGCGAAACGGAUUAGAGACCCGUGUAGUCCUAGCCGUAAACUAUGCUCGCUAGCUUCUUGGUCUCACGACUGGGAGGCGUAAGCUAACGCGUGAAGCGAGCCGCCUGGGGAGUACGGUCGCAAGAUUA